CGUGCGCGUGGGCGAGGCGCUGCUCUACCCCGAUUCGGGCGGGCGGCUCGCGGUCGCCAUCAACGGCGGUUCCGCGGCGGCCGCGCUGGA
This 90-nucleotide transfer RNA is filed under the name Amycolatopsis sp. CA-230715. Its description in RNAcentral is "tRNA-Arg". The record is from RNAcentral. Lineage: Bacteria; Bacillati; Actinomycetota; Actinomycetes; Pseudonocardiales; Pseudonocardiaceae.